CCUACGGGAGGCAGCAGUGGGGAAUAUUGGACAAUGGGCGAAAGCCUGAUCCAGCCAUGCCGCGUGUGUGAAGAAGGCCUUCGGGUUGUAAAGCACUUUCAGUGGGGAAGAAAGCCUUGGGGCUAAUACCCUCGAGGAAGGACAUCACCCACAGAAGAAGCACCGGCUAACUCCGUGCCAGCAGCCGCGGUAAUACGGAGGGUGCGAGCGUUAAUCGGAUUUACUGGGCGUAAAGCGCGCGUAGGCGGUCUGAUAAGCCGGUUGUGAAAGCCCCGGGCUCAACCUGGGAACGGCAUCCGGAACGGUCAGGCUAGAGUGCAGGAGAGGAAGGUAGAAUUCCCGGUGUAGCGGUGAAAUGCGUAGAGAUCGGGAGGAAUACCAGUGGCGAAGGCGGCCUUCUGGACUGACACUGACGCUGAGGUGCGAAAGCGUGGGUAGCAAACAGGAUUAGAUACCCGUGUAGUC
Molecule: ribosomal RNA, 465 nt
Filed under: Vreelandella stevensii
Lineage: Bacteria; Pseudomonadati; Pseudomonadota; Gammaproteobacteria; Oceanospirillales; Halomonadaceae
Description: partial 16S ribosomal RNA
Rfam family: Bacterial small subunit ribosomal RNA
Source: RNAcentral